GAUGAACGCUGGCGGCGUGCCUAAUACAUGCAAGUCGAGCGAACAGACGAGGAGCUUGCUCCUCUGACGUUAGCGGCGGACGGGUGAGUAACACGUGGAUAACCUACCUAUAAGACUGGGAUAACUUCGGGAAACCGGAGCUAAUACCGGAUAAUAUAUUGAACCGCAUGGUUCAAUAGUGAAAGACGGUUUUGCUGUCACUUAUAGAUGGAUCCGCGCCGCAUUAGCUAGUUGGUAAGGUAACGGCUUACCAAGGCAACGAUGCGUAGCCGACCUGAGAGGGUGAUCGGCCGCACUGGAACUGGGACACGGUCCCGACUCCUACGGGAGGCAGCAGUAGGGAAUCUUCCGCAAUGGGCGAAAGCCUGACGGAGCAACGCCGCGUGAGUGAUGAAGGUCUUCGGAUCGUAAAACUCUGUUAUUAGGGAAGAACAAAUGUGUAAGUAACUAUGCACGUCUUGACGGUACCUAAUCAGAAAGCCACGGCUAACUACGUG
RNAcentral lists this ribosomal RNA (497 nucleotides) under uncultured bacterium. Its description in RNAcentral is "partial 16S ribosomal RNA". It matches the Rfam family "Bacterial small subunit ribosomal RNA", at positions 28 to 507 of the family's 1533-position model. The record is from RNAcentral.